AUAUAGGCAAAUCCGUAUAGCUAGAUGUGAGGUUUGACAUGGAAGGAGAAAUCCUGGAAGGUGCAAAUCCUACACUGCCGAGAAAAGCUUCUAUUGAGAGAGUAAGUACCCGUACCGAAAACCGACACAGGUGGAUGGAGUGAGAAACUCAAGGCGCGCAGGCUAACUAUCGCUAAGGAACUCUGCAAAAUGGCCCCGUAACUUCGGGAGAAGGGGUGCCCUUUAUUGUUAACAACUACGCGUUGUGAAGCGAUGAGGGGUCGCAGUGAAAAGGUCCGGGCAACUGUUUAACAAAAACACAGGUCUAUGCUAAGCUGAAAGGCGAUGUAUAUGGGCUGACACCUGCCCAGUGCCGGAAGGUUAAGGGGAGGAGUGAGAGCUUCGAACUGAAGCCCCGGUGAACGGCGGCCGUAACAAUAACGGUCCUAAGGUAGCGAAAUUCCUUGUCGGGUAAGUUCCGACCUGCACGAAUGGUGUAAUGAUCUGGACGCUGUCUUGGCGGUAGGCCUGGCGAAAUUGUAGUAUGGGUGAAGAUACCCAUUACCCGCAGGAGGACGGAAAGACCCCAUGGAGCUUUACUGUAGCUUGGUAUUGGGUUUUGAUUAUGUGUGUAUAGGAUAGUUGGGAGACUUUGAUGUAUAGCCGCCAGGUUAUAUGGAGUCGUCGGUGGAAUACCAACCACAUAUCGUUGAAAUUCUAAUCAGGGAAGUGAAUUCUUGGAGACAGUGCUAGGUGGGCAGUUUGACUGGGGCGGUCGCCUCCUAAAGAGUAACGGAGGCGCCCAAAGGUUCCCUCAGACUGGAUGGAAAUCAGUCGUAGAGUGCAAAGGCAUAAGGGAGCUUGACUGUGAGACAGACAUGUCGAACAGGUGCGAAAGCAGGGCUUAGUGAUCCGGUGGUUCCGUAUGGAAGGGCCAUCGCUCAACGGAUAAAAGCUACCCUGGGGAUAACAGGCUGAUACUACCCGAGAGUCCAUAUCGACGGUAGUGUUUGGCACCUUGAUGUCGGCUCAUCUUAUCCUGGGGCUGGAGAAGGUCCCAAGGGUUGGGCUGUUCGCCCAUUAAAAAGGUACGUGAGCUGGGUUCAGAACGUCGUGAGACAGUUCGGUCCCUAUCCUCUGCGGGCGUAAGAGUAUUGCGAAGAUCUGUCCUUAGUACGAGAGGACCGGGAUGGACAAACCUCUGAUGUAUCAGUUGUCACGCCAGUGGCAUAGCUGAGUAGUCACGUUUGGAACGGAUAACCGCUGAAAGCAUCUAAGCGGGAAACCAGCUUCAAGAUAAAUACUCUCAUGCGCAAGCAAUAAGGCUCCUUCUAGACUAGGAGGUUGAUAGGUUGGGGGUGUAAUUGCAGCAAUGCAUUUAGCUGACCAAUACUAAUAAGCCGAAGACUUAACCU
RNAcentral lists this ribosomal RNA (1394 nucleotides) under metagenome. Its description in RNAcentral is "bacterial LSU rRNA". It matches the Rfam family "Bacterial large subunit ribosomal RNA", at positions 1530 to 2925 of the family's 2925-position model. The record is from RNAcentral.